GCACAGCAAUGUGUUCAGCUGACAUUUACUAAUCGGUCGAGGGCUUGACCAA
This 52-nucleotide ribosomal RNA is filed under the name Lachnospiraceae bacterium. Its description in RNAcentral is "partial 23S ribosomal RNA". The record is from RNAcentral. Lineage: Bacteria; Bacillati; Bacillota; Clostridia; Lachnospirales; Lachnospiraceae.